Molecule: ribosomal RNA, 269 nt
Filed under: uncultured bacterium
Lineage: Bacteria
Description: partial 16S ribosomal RNA
Rfam family: Bacterial small subunit ribosomal RNA
Source: RNAcentral
UUAUAGUUUAGUGGCGGACGGGUGAGUAACACGUGAGCAACCUGCCUUCGAGAGGGGAAUAACGGCUGGAAACGGUCGCUAAUACCGCAUAACAUACGGGAGGGACAUCCCUUUUGUAUCAAAGAUUUAUCGCUCGAAGAUGGGCUCGCGUCCGAUUAGGUAGUUGGUGAGGUAACGGCCCACCAAGCCGACGAUCGGUAGCCGGACCGAGAGGUUGAACGGCCACAUUGGGACUGAGACACGGCCCAAACUCCUACGGAAGGCAGCAG